Long non-coding RNA from Dunckerocampus dactyliophorus (ringed pipefish), 3491 nucleotides. RefSeq lists it as uncharacterized. NCBI's taxonomy places the organism in Eukaryota, Metazoa, Chordata, Actinopteri, Syngnathiformes, Syngnathidae. The record is from RefSeq and is a predicted model, not a curated record. The transcript is spliced from 3 exons.
UUCUCGUGUUCUCAAGCUGCACAAAUAGAUACUUAUUCAUCUCCAAGAGAAAUUCAAACAGAUGUACUACUAUAGUGUAUUUUCACCCGCUUUCUUCCACUUUAUUUGCUCCCGAAUGCUGAUACUAUGUGGGAAUGCAUAAAGGAUGGAUGAUAAGAGGUUUCACUCUGCAUCUGUCUCAACAACUGGGCCCGUUUGUUCUACAGUGGAAUGAAAGAGUGACUGAACCCUCCUGUCAGUCAUUCAGUCUGUUUGUGUCAGUGGGGAGAGGCGAGGCGCUGAAAGAAUAACUGACAACUACGAAUGCAUGUGGCAGCGCUGCCCUGCCACACAACAGCUGGCAUAACACUACACCAAGGAUGCUGUCCAAUCUCAAAACCAACCGUGGAAAACAUCCAUGUUUCCUUAUUUAAACAUGGAGUUGUAAGGAUGAUUGACACUCACCCACAGCCUUCAGGGAGGCGUACUUGUUGAGAUCCUUGUUUUGAUGCUGCUGCUGCUGCUGUUGUUGCUGCUGCUGCUGCUGCUGCUGCUGCUGCUGCUGCUGCUGCUGCUGCUGUUGUUGUUGUUGUUGUUGUUGAUGUUCAUACACAUGAGCCAGCUGACCGAGAGCAGGAUAAGGGUGCUGUUGGACCAUGUUUGAUGCCUGUCCCACGUUGUUGUUGAUCUGACCGCCCUCUGUGGACACGAUAAUAAACAUUAGGUGGGAGGACCUUUUCAGCAAGCAAGAGGCAAAAGCAGAACAUAAAAUGUGAGUGUUUGUGUAUUCAGUAAAAACACAUGCUUGCGUUGGACGCUUCAUUAGGUACACCUGCACACAUUCUAAUGACAUCCACCACAAGAAGGGGAAGCUUAAUGCCCCUGAGGUUAUGCAAUUCAUAGUCUGAAUAUUCUGACCAAUAUUCUGGGGGAAAAUCUAUUAAAAUUUCCAAAAUUUGGAUGCCCCUCCAUCUCUUCAAGAUGUGUACAUGUGGGUUUAUUUUUAAGACAUCAUAAUACGUGUCACUUGCUGACAAAGUUGUUUUUGUUUUUAUGUUUUACACUAGUUAACUUCUUCAGGUUUGUCAUUCACUCUUUUUUCCCGCCUUCGCCAUUUUAACAGCUUUAAAAAAAAAAAAAAAAAUCAGGUUCUGUGUGAAAGUUGCUCAAGUGCCAAGAACGUCUCGAACAUUCACCAGCUCUGCUGUGCUAAAAGUACGGAUGGGUGGAUCAAUCAAAAAAUCUAUAUUAUCGAUAUCAGGGUAGUGUUGGCAUCGGAUUGAUACUUGCCAAUAUGGUUAUUUUCACAAAUAUCGGUGUGUUUUUUGUUGUGCUGUUCCAUUAUAUUGUAUAUAUUGUUAUAUUGUACGCUUGAGGGCAUCUGAAUAAUUUUUGCUUUUAUUUACUGAUUUUGCGUGAUUCAGUUCAAUCAAGGAGAUACCUUCAUUUGCAUGAUUCUAUUCCCGAUCAACAAAUUACAGGCAAAAAUCACAAAAUUACUCAAUGGUAUAAAAGUAUCAGUAUCCGCGACUCUGGUCCUAUAUUUGUUUGGUAUCUGAUUGAUACCAAAAUGUGUAGUAUUGCCCGCCUCUAGUAAAAAGUAAAGUAAAUGUCAACCGUAAAGGAUUUUAAAUCCUAUUUUAAGGAUAACCUCAAACAGAAACCUGACCAUCUGACUUUCAAGGAACCUACACUGCAAAGUAUCUGCUAUUGAAUUCCCACAGCCCAGACUAUUUACUGCAAUGUGGUAGUCUAGCACUAGAAAUUAGGUUUGAAUCCUGAAAACUACUUUGUGGCAAAAUAUGUCUUCAAUUCUGGGUCAUAGCAUGCAUUCCCAGAUAGCAUGUGAAUAACUAAAUUGACUUCCAAUCAUAAAUGGCGAUUGUAUUUAUUACCAUUUAUGCAUUUUUUUUUCACCUUAACAUCCCAUUAGUGUGAUUACUGGACUUCAGACUUCAGGUUAUUAGUUAGAUAGACUUUAUUGCAUCCUAUACAAACCUUAAUUAAGUGCUAUGGCUUUUAAAUGCUGCUUAACUGCAAUAACUGAGUAAACCACACAGUUUGCAGUAAGAAGGUUUCAUGUUGUGAUUGUAGUGAGUGCUCUGUACUCCAGCACAUUGUUAUAAGUAGCUGUUCCCUAACCAUGCUCAUAAUUGAUCCGCCUUCCUCCACACUUGAGUUAUGCAAUAGUGCUAAAAAGCCGAGCGUCUUCUCGAUGAUGCAAAAACCAGUUGGUAAAGAUAACACAUUGAGCAAAGUUACAGAUAUUCACAAGUGCACUCUUUGAGAGAGGCAGGGACGGGAAAUCCUGCAAAGCACAGCCAAAUGUCACUUUAAAUGUGGGAAUAUUUCACUUCGGCUGUGUUCCGCUGCCUGAAAGCCUGACAGAUAAUUGUAAAGUCCUGUUACUGCUGCUGCAAGUAUCCUUGCUGAGGACAUUGUGUUAAAAGCAGUCUGACAGUGCCACUUGAUGAUAAUAAAGAAGCAAGGUAAAGAUGCUUGUCAGUAAAAAUGGAGAAUGAAAAAGUAAAGUCAUAAAAGAUGAAGAUGAAAUCGUAGAGGUAAUCUUUUCAAAUACAGACUGCUGUUGUGUGGCUGCAACCCAUCAAUAUCGAUCAUCUCCUCUUCUGUUUGGUCAAGAAAAGGCAUUGUUCAGACAUGACAGGAGGCCUUAAACCUGGGGGUGUUUUGCUUUUUUUUAAUGCACACCCAUUGAGCCAAAAGAUAUUUAUGAGGUUAAUUAUGUGACUGAAAAUUCCAAAUUGGAUUGUGUUGAUGUUAUCAAACAUUCCGCCACAGGCUCAUCUUAAGAACAUGUGCUAAUGAAGGCGACAAAUGAGGAAAAGGACGCUCUUUCUCCAGGCAUUUCAUUGAAUCUUUUCAUAUGUCAACAUUCACUGCAGUCUUGAUGGGAUCAAGCAACAGCUUUACUUUAUUAUAUGUAAGGCCAAAAUGGACAAUGGCGGGGACAACCAAUUUUCUUAGCACAUAAUGGAUUUUAUCUGGUUGAAGAGCACCAUACUAAAAUUCAAUAUCCUAUCAAAGCACAAGUGCACCUCCUUGCACGUCCUUAUUUUCAGGCACUCUGCCAUCAACUGAUUUGAAUCCGUGAACAUAAAUGGGAACGGUGGCACAGAAUUGCAAAGCCUUUCUAAACUCAAUUAUAAAGAAAUGGGACUGAUACUAAAUUGUCCAUGAAUAUGGAAAUGUGGUGUGAUUAAGUUUGAAUAGUCACAGCCUAAUAAAUUGAACUGGUGUUUUUGCUGGAAGGGUGCAUGUGACAACUGUUAAAUUAUAAAAAAAAUAAAAUAUAUUACCUCAAUGAGUCUAAUAUAAACAUGUGGUUACAACUUGGUGUGUUUUAGGAUUGGACAUUCCUGUCACUGCAUUACACUUUAAUGAUUCAAUUUGGAACCUGUGCACCUUUUUGGACCAACAGUAUCACACAAAAUUAAAAAGCCCCAUCACGUCUCCGUUUAGAGUGGUCAGCUUACAGCUUGUAUGGCGGUAUA